This 328-nucleotide ribosomal RNA is filed under the name uncultured eukaryote. RNAcentral's name for it is "partial 18S ribosomal RNA". It matches the Rfam family "Eukaryotic small subunit ribosomal RNA", at positions 1470 to 1796 of the family's 1831-position model. The record is from RNAcentral.
CCCUUAGAUGUUCUGGGCCGCACGCGCGCUACACUGACUACUUCAACGAGUUGUUUCCUUGAUCGAAAGGUCUGGGUAAUCUUUGAAAGGUAGUCGUGAUGGGGAUAGAUCCUUGCAAUUUUUGAUCUUCAACGAGGAAUUCCCAGUAAACGCAAGUCAUCAGCUUGCAUUGAUUACGUCCCUGCCCUUUGUACACACCGCCCGUCGCACCUACCGAUUGAAUGGUCCGGUGAAUCUUUAGGACUGUGGCUGAGGCCUUGCCUUGUGCGGGUCUGGCCGUGGGAAUUUAGUUAAACCUUACCAUUUAGAGGAAGGUGAAGUCGUAACA